RNAcentral lists this ribosomal RNA (253 nucleotides) under uncultured bacterium. RNAcentral's name for it is "partial 16S ribosomal RNA". It matches the Rfam family "Bacterial small subunit ribosomal RNA", at positions 524 to 776 of the family's 1533-position model. The record is from RNAcentral.
CACGUAGGAGCCAAGCGUUAUCCGAAUUCACUGGGCGUAAAGCGCGUGCAGGCGGCUCGGUAAGUUGGAUGUGAAAUCUCCUGGCUCAACUGGGAGAGGACGUUCAAUACUGUCGGGCUAGAGGGCAGCAGAGGGAGGUGGAAUUCCCGGUGUAGUGGUGAAAUGCGUAGAUAUCGGGAGGAACACCAGUGGCGAAGGCGGCCUCCUGGGCUGCACCUGACGCUCAGACGCGAAAGCUAGGGGAGCGAACGGG